RNAcentral lists this ribosomal RNA (498 nucleotides) under uncultured bacterium. RNAcentral's name for it is "partial 16S ribosomal RNA". It matches the Rfam family "Bacterial small subunit ribosomal RNA", at positions 28 to 507 of the family's 1533-position model. The record is from RNAcentral.
GACGAACGCUGGCGGCGUGCCUAAUACAUGCAAGUCGAACGAGAGCGACCGGUGCUUGUACUGGUCAAUCUAGUGGCGAACGGGUGAGUGACACGUGGGUAACCUGCCCAUCAGAGGGGGAUAACAUCCGGAAACGGAUGCUAAAACCGCAUAGGUCUUCGAACCGCAUGGUUUGAAGUGGAAAAGAGGCGCAAGCUUCUGCUGAUGGGUGGACCCGCGGUGCAUUAGCUAGUUGGUGAGGUAACGGCUCCCCAAGGCCGUGACGCAUAGCCGACCUGAGAGGGUGAUCGCCCACAUUGGGACUGAGACACGGCCCAACCUCCUACGGGAGGCAGCAGUAGGGAAUCUUCGGCAAUGGACGAAAGUCUGACGGAGCAACGCCGCGGGAGUGAAGAAGGUUUUCGGAUCGUAAAACUCUGUUGUUAGGGAAGAACAAGUGCUAGAUUAACUGUUAGCGACGUGACGGUAUCUAACCAGAAAGCCACGGCUAACUACGUG